RNAcentral lists this ribosomal RNA (253 nucleotides) under uncultured prokaryote. RNAcentral describes it as "partial 16S ribosomal RNA". It matches the Rfam family "Bacterial small subunit ribosomal RNA", at positions 525 to 777 of the family's 1533-position model. The record is from RNAcentral.
ACGGAGGGUGCAAGCGUUAAUCGGAAUUACUGGGCGUAAAGCGUGCGCAGGCGGUUUGUUAAGUCUGUUGUGAAAUCCCCGAGCUCAACUUGGGAAUUGCAAUGGAUACUGGCAGGCUGGAGUACGGUAGAGGAAGGUGGAAUUCCCGGUGUAGCAGUGAAAUGCGUAGAGAUCGGGAGGAACGCCGAUGGCGAAGGCAGGUCUCUGGGCCAUUACUGACACUGAGAAGCGAAAGCAUGGGGAGCGAACAGGA